UACCCAUGUUAAACGUUUGGGCCCAGCUGUUGUCUGGGGUGAGUUUACUAGGUCUAUAGUACUGGUACAUUAAGCUAAUUGCCUGCUCUUUAUAGCAGAGGGAUUAAACCCAUGUGCCCCCUCAC
This is a small nucleolar RNA of Oncorhynchus mykiss (rainbow trout), 125 nucleotides long. NCBI's taxonomy places the organism in Eukaryota, Metazoa, Chordata, Actinopteri, Salmoniformes, Salmonidae. The record is from Ensembl.